AUACGGAGGAUGCGAGCGUUAUCCGGAUUUAUUGGGUUUAAAGGGUGCGUAGGCGGCCUUGUAAGUCAGCGGUGAAAUUUUGCAGCUUAACUGUAAAAGUGCCGUUGAUACUGUGAGGCUAGGAUUUGGUUGCUGCGGGUGGAAUGUGUGGUGUAGCGGUGAAAUGCUUAGAGAUCACACAGAAUAUCGAUUGCGAAGGCAGCUCACAAAGCCAAGAUUGACGCUGAGGCACGAAAGUGUGGGGAUCAAACAGGAUUAGAUACCCUGGUAGUCCACACUGUAAACGAUGAUAACUCGCUGUCGGCGAUAUACAGUCGGUGGCCAAGCGAAAGCGAUAAGUUAUCCACCUGGGAGUACGACCGCAAGGUUGAAACUCAAAGGAAUUGACGGGG
This 392-nucleotide ribosomal RNA is filed under the name uncultured bacterium. RNAcentral's name for it is "partial 16S ribosomal RNA". It matches the Rfam family "Bacterial small subunit ribosomal RNA", at positions 523 to 918 of the family's 1533-position model. The record is from RNAcentral.